Molecule: ribosomal RNA, 27 nt
Filed under: Transversotrema borboleta
Lineage: Eukaryota; Metazoa; Platyhelminthes; Trematoda; Azygiida; Transversotrematidae
Also listed under: 1 other name
Description: partial 28S ribosomal RNA
Source: RNAcentral
GACCUCGGAUCAGACGUGAAUACCCGC